CAGAUGUUUGGAGUGACAGUAUUUAUUGAAAAAAUUCCACAUGUAAAUGGACCUGUGCAAUUCAAACCUAUGUUGUUUAAGGGUCAACUGAAAAUAGGAAACUACUGUAAUGAAAGUAUUGUAAGAGAAUUAAGCUUCACGAGCACAGAAAAGAUCAUACAGCUAAUCUAGCCAUAAGGAAAGGGCCAUUGGAAAAGGCAUUUUGAAGUGGUUAGUUCUGAGCAAGCCAGACAGGCAGAUGAAAGCAUGUGCAAAGAAAGGGACAGAAGCAGAAGAGAAUGUGGUGUAAUUU
This is a long non-coding RNA of Phyllostomus discolor (pale spear-nosed bat), 292 nucleotides long. RefSeq lists it as uncharacterized. The transcript is spliced from 3 exons. NCBI's taxonomy places the organism in Eukaryota, Metazoa, Chordata, Mammalia, Chiroptera, Phyllostomidae. The record is from RefSeq and is a predicted model, not a curated record.